This is a non-coding RNA of Nomascus leucogenys (northern white-cheeked gibbon), 46 nucleotides long. NCBI's taxonomy places the organism in Eukaryota, Metazoa, Chordata, Mammalia, Primates, Hylobatidae. The record is from Rfam.
CCAAAGGAUUUUUUAAAAACCAAACAUGGAUAACUAAAAAUAAAAU